This 465-nucleotide ribosomal RNA is filed under the name uncultured bacterium. RNAcentral describes it as "partial 16S ribosomal RNA". It matches the Rfam family "Bacterial small subunit ribosomal RNA", at positions 28 to 507 of the family's 1533-position model. The record is from RNAcentral.
GACGAACGCUGGCGGCGUGCUUAACACAUGCCAGUCGAACGGAAAGGCCCCUUUGGGGGUACUCGAGUGGCGAACGGGUGAGUAACACGUGAGUAACCUGCCCUUGACUUCGGGAUAACUUCAGGAAACUGGGGCUAAUACCGGAUAGGAAUCCUUGCUGCAUGGUGGGGGUUGGAAAGCUUCGGCGGUUUUGGAUGGACUCGCGGCUUAUCAGCUUGUUGGUGGGGUAGUGGCUUACCAAGGCUUUGACGGGUAGCCGGCCUGAGAGGGCGACCGGCCACAUUGGGACUGAGAUACGGCCCAGACUCCUACGGGAGGCAGCAGUGGAGAAUAUUGCACAAUGGGCGGAAGCCUGAUGCAGCAACGCCGCGUGCGGGAUGACGGCCUUCGGGUUGUAAACCGCUUUCAGCAGGGGCGAAGCUUGUGGUGACGGUACCUGCAGAAGAAGCACCGGCUAACUACGUG